Molecule: ribosomal RNA, 208 nt
Filed under: Ligilactobacillus salivarius
Lineage: Bacteria; Bacillati; Bacillota; Bacilli; Lactobacillales; Lactobacillaceae
Description: Lactobacillus salivarius partial 16S ribosomal RNA
Rfam family: Bacterial small subunit ribosomal RNA
Source: RNAcentral
UUUAAAAUGAGAGUUUGAUCCUGGCUCAGGACGAACGCUGGCGGCGUGCCUAAUACAUGCAAGUCGAACGAAACUUUCUUACACCGAAUGCUUGCAUUCACCGUAAGAAGUUGAGUGGCGGACGGGUGAGUAACACGUGGGUAACCUGCCUAAAAGAAGGGGAUAACACUUGGAAACAGGUGCUAAUACCGUAUAUCUCUAAGGAUCG